GUAAAGUUUAGGGUUUUUGCUACAAUUUUUGUGCAAAUUUUAUAGGGUUUGGAAUUAGAGUGAAUAAGUUAUAGCUGUUUGAAGUUAAGGUGUCAAUUUGAGACCUACUAUUACUCUUUUGAGUUUAAGAGGAGUCUUACGGAAGCUUUUGGAGAUCGGAAGAUGCAACUAAAAGAAAAACUUCAAGACAUACAUCUUUUGCGAAGGAGAUUUUGCAUUUGGAGUUUAUGUGAAGGAGUUAUAGGAAGUUAAAGACAGCGCAUUCAAAUCAAAGGCAGUAAGUGAGCGGUUUUGUUCAAAGUAGUGUUAGGAGCCAUAACUUGAGUUUUCGAACGAAAUUUUGGCUCAAACUUUGGGAGAAUGUAAAAAUUUGUGUUAAGAAGCUAUCAAUAUAAGUUUCGUGGCAUUUGGACUUAU
This 417-nucleotide long non-coding RNA is filed under the name Physcomitrium patens. Its description in RNAcentral is "long non-coding RNA (PPAT_LNC006876)". Lineage: Eukaryota; Viridiplantae; Streptophyta; Bryopsida; Funariales; Funariaceae. The record is from RNAcentral.